GGGGGAUAAUAUUGGAAACGAUAGCUAAUACCGCAUAACAGUAUGUAACACAUGUUAGAUGCUUGAAAGAUGCAAUUGCAUCGCUAGUAGAUGGACCUGCGUUGUAUUAGCUAGUAGGUAGGGUAAUGGCCUACCUAGGCAACGAUACAUAGCCGACCUGAGAGGGUGAUCGGCCACACUGGGACUGAGACACGGCCCAGACUCCUACGGGAGGCAGCAGUAGGGAAUCUUCGGCAAUGGGGGGAACCCUGACCGAGCAACGCCGCGUGAGUGAAGAAGGUUUUCGGAUCGUAAAGCUCUGUUGUUAAGGAAGAACGAGUGUGAGAAUGGAAAGUUCAUACUGUGACGUACUAACCAGAAAGGACG
This 366-nucleotide ribosomal RNA is filed under the name Streptococcus anginosus. Its description in RNAcentral is "bacterial SSU rRNA". It matches the Rfam family "Bacterial small subunit ribosomal RNA", at positions 138 to 494 of the family's 1533-position model. The record is from RNAcentral. Lineage: Bacteria; Bacillati; Bacillota; Bacilli; Lactobacillales; Streptococcaceae.